RNAcentral lists this ribosomal RNA (303 nucleotides) under uncultured bacterium. Its description in RNAcentral is "partial 16S ribosomal RNA". It matches the Rfam family "Bacterial small subunit ribosomal RNA", at positions 507 to 809 of the family's 1533-position model. The record is from RNAcentral.
AGCAGUAGCCACGGUAACACGGAGGGUGCAAGCGUUAAUCGGAAUUACUGGGCGUAAAGCGCACGCAGGCGGUCUGACAAGUCAGAUGUGAAAUCCCCGGGCUUAACCUGGGAACUGCAUUUGAAACUGUCAGGCUGGAGUCUUGUAGAGGGGGGUGGAAUUCCAGGUGUAGCGGUGAAAUGCGUAGAGAUCUGGAGGAAUACCGGUGGCGAAGGCGGCCCCCUGGACAAAGACUGACGCUCAGGUGCGAAAGCGUGGGGAGCAAACAGGAUUAGAUACCCGUGUAGUCCCUGUCUCUUAUAA